AGUGAACGCUGGCGGUAGGCCUAACACAUGCAAGUCGAACGGCAGCACAGUAAGAGCUUGCUCUUACGGGUGGCGAGUGGCGUACGGGUGAGGAAUACAUCGGAAUCUACUUUUUCGUGGGGGAUAACGUAGGGAAACUUACUCUACUACCGCAUACGUCCUACGGGUGAAAGCAGGGGAUCUUCGUACCUUUCGCGAUUGAAUGAGCCGAUGUCGGAUUAGCUAGUUGGCGGGGUAAAGGCCCACCAAGGCGACGAUCCGUAGCUGGUCUGAGAGGAUGAUCAGCCACACUGGAACUGAGACACGGUCCAGACUCCUACGGGAGGCAGCAGUGGGGAAUAUUGGACAAUGGGCGCAAGCAUGAUACAGCCAUACCGCGUGGGUGAAGAAGGACUUCGGGUUGUAAAGAAAUUUUGUUGGGAAAGAAAAGCAGGAGGUUAAAACCCAGAUGUAAUGACGGUACCGAAAGAAUAAGCACCGGCUAACUUCGUG
This 492-nucleotide ribosomal RNA is filed under the name uncultured bacterium. Its description in RNAcentral is "partial 16S ribosomal RNA". It matches the Rfam family "Bacterial small subunit ribosomal RNA", at positions 29 to 507 of the family's 1533-position model. The record is from RNAcentral.